GCGGAAAAGAGAAUCCCCCGGCCUGUCACGCCGGAGGUCGCGGGUUCGAGCCCCGUCACUCGCGCCA
RNAcentral lists this transfer RNA (67 nucleotides) under Mesorhizobium sp. RNAcentral describes it as "tRNA-Asp". It matches the Rfam family "tRNA". From Rfam's summary of the family: Transfer RNA (tRNA) molecules are approximately 80 nucleotides in length. Their secondary structure includes four short double-helical elements and three loops (D, anti-codon, and T loops). Further hydrogen bonds mediate the characteristic L-shaped molecular structure. tRNAs have two regions of fundamental functional importance: the anti-codon, which is responsible for specific mRNA codon recognition, and the 3' end, to which the tRNAs corresponding amino acid is attached (by aminoacyl-tRNA synthetases). tRNAs cope with the degeneracy of the genetic code in two manners: having more than one tRNA (with a specific anti-codon) for a particular amino acid; and 'wobble' base-pairing, i.e. permitting non-standard base-pairing at the 3rd anti-codon position. Lineage: Bacteria; Pseudomonadati; Pseudomonadota; Alphaproteobacteria; Hyphomicrobiales; Phyllobacteriaceae. The record is from RNAcentral.